RNAcentral lists this long non-coding RNA (215 nucleotides) under Elaeis guineensis (African oil palm). Its description in RNAcentral is "long non-coding RNA (EGUI_LNC064355)". The record is from RNAcentral. Lineage: Eukaryota; Viridiplantae; Streptophyta; Magnoliopsida; Arecales; Arecaceae.
GUAAAAUACUUUUACUGUAGGAAGCAGAAUCAUUAGAAGAGGAACUAUCCUUAAUACAUUAUUUUUCUUGAUUCAAACAGAUAAAAAAAGAAGAAGCAACCGGUUGCUAAGCAAGAUAAUUACAUGAUAACUCCUUACAACUUCUUAAUUUGUGAGACAAUGAUCUGGAUAUUAGAUAUUGAUAGUCCUAUUAACAUUUGUAAUUCAUUGCAGGG